AGCUGCCAAGAAAGAAGGAGAGGUAUGAACUUUUCUUGAGUUUUCAGGGGGAAAAAAAGGGACUAUUGGUGUUGUGCAUUCAGAGUUUCAUGGCCAUUUUAUUCUACUAUCUUGGGAUAUUUUUUUUGGUGGCAUUGCUUUAUUCUUUAAAUGACCUUUUAAUGAUUCAGAUUUGUUUGAUUUUUCAAAGCAUUGAUGUGGGCAUUAUGGCUGUGGCUAAUCCUGCAUAUUCAUUAUUUGUUUACUUAAACUUUUGUAAAGUUUCACCUUAAUUUGCUUUCGCUAUUGGUGGUUUGUUAUGUGCGAGCAUUAAUCUGGUUGUGCUAGCAUGUUUAACUUUUCUAAUUGCUUGUUUUCUGUGGUGAAAAUAUCAUUUGCCAGGUAAAAAUGUAAAAUCAAUGAUUGGGGUUUUGACAUGUUCAUUUUAGGUUGUGUUGUUUUCAGUGAUUAUGAUUUCUUGAUGAAAAGUACAUGGGAAUGAACAACUGUUGCACCUCUUAUUUAUUUAUUUUAAAACUGUUUAUACGAUUGUGAAUUUUCAAGCAGUUCUUUCUAGUAUUUUCCUGUUUCUAAAUGAGUUGAAAUGAUUCAUUCACGGAAUAUCUUUGUAUUAUUUCACUUUGUUGGUUUACAGGAAGGUGAAGCCACUACUGAGGAGGUGAAGAAGAGCAAUCACGUCUUGAGAAAGCUGGAGAAGAGACAGCAGGCUCGCAAGCUUGACCCUCAUAUUGAAGAUCAAUUUGGUGGUGGUCGCCUAUUAGCUUGUAUCUCAUCGCGCCCUGGUCAAUGUGGUCGUGCUGAUGGGUACAUCUUGGAGGGUAAAGAGCUGGAAUUUUACAUGAAGAAAAUCCAGAGGAAGAAGGGCAAAGGAGCUGCCUAAAAUUGUGUUAUCUGAGCCUCAUAUUCGGAUCAGAGACUUCUUUCUCCACCUUUUUAAGUUAUUGAACGGCAUUCUUCACCUUAUUAUUUUCCUUCUAUUUGGACAUUGAUUUUUUUCAUGAGAUGAGCAACUAAGCUUGUAGCACCAACUAGUUUUACUGUUUAAUUCAUAGUUAGAAACCAAUUGUUGCUUUUGGUUUACGGGAUUUUAUUUGGAAUUUGAUGGUAAUGGAAAUUAUCAAGUUAUGUGAGAGUGGUGUUAAUAUAUCCUAGCAGAUCAAUUUGUUAACUUUUUAAUGGUUGUCCUAGUGUGGGAGUUUCCUUCGCCUAGAGGUAGGGCUAUGUAGUCCCACUUCACCAAACCCGUCGUAAUGUUAUGCAUGGAUUACAGAAACGUAUUUUAUGGAA
Molecule: unclassified non-coding RNA, 1287 nt
Filed under: Hevea brasiliensis (rubber tree)
Lineage: Eukaryota; Viridiplantae; Streptophyta; Magnoliopsida; Malpighiales; Euphorbiaceae
Source: RNAcentral